RNAcentral lists this ribosomal RNA (497 nucleotides) under uncultured bacterium. Its description in RNAcentral is "partial 16S ribosomal RNA". It matches the Rfam family "Bacterial small subunit ribosomal RNA", at positions 28 to 507 of the family's 1533-position model. The record is from RNAcentral.
GAUGAACGCUGGCGGCGUGCCUAAUACAUGCAAGUCGAGCGAACAGACGAGGAGCUUGCUCCUCUGACGUUAGCGGCGGACGGGUGAGUAACACGUGGAUAACCUACCUAUAAGACUGGGAUAACUUCGGGAAACCGGAGCUAAUACCGGAUAAUAUAUUGAACCGCAUGGUUCAAUAGUGAAAGACGGUUUUGCUGUCACUUAUAGAUGGAUCCGCGCCGCAUUAGCUAGUUGGUAAGGCAACGGCUUACCAAGGCAACGAUGCGUAGCCGACCUGAGAGGGUGAUCGGCCACACUGGAACUGAGACACGGUCCAGACUCCUACGGGAGGCAGCAGUAGGGAAUCUUCCGCAAUGGGCGAAAGCCUGACGGAGCAACGCCGCGUGAGUGAUGAAGGUCUUCGGAUCGUAAAACUCUGUUAUUAGGGGAGAACAAAUGUGUAAGUAACUAUGCACGUCUUGACGGUACCUAAUCAGAAAGCCACGGCUAACUACGUG